RNAcentral lists this ribosomal RNA (253 nucleotides) under uncultured bacterium. RNAcentral's name for it is "partial 16S ribosomal RNA". It matches the Rfam family "Bacterial small subunit ribosomal RNA", at positions 524 to 776 of the family's 1533-position model. The record is from RNAcentral.
UACGGAGGGUGCUAGCGUUGUUCGGAAUUACUGGGCGUAAAGGGCGCGUAGGCGGCCUGAUCAGUCGGGUGUGAAAGCCCGGGGCUCAACCCCGGAACGGCACCCGAGACGGUCAGGCUGGAGACCGGGAGAGGAGGGUGGAAUAGCCAGUGUAGAGGUGAAAUUCGUAGAUAUUGGCUGGAACACCGGUGGCGAAAGCGGCUCUCUGGCCCGGUUCUGACGCUGAGGCGCGAAAGCGUGGGGAGCAAACAGG